AGUCGGGGGUAGUCCAUUUUAGUUUUCCAACGGAAAAUGCUUCCGUUUUUCUUCUAAUAACUAUUCUCAACUUAAAUCUCUAAAAACACUAAAAACAGACGUAUCUAUCAAAUCUCUAUUUUGCACAAUUUUUAACAAAAAUUUCUGCACUCGAAAAAACAAAAUGCCUGUUAAAAAAAUCGUUAAAUCAGUUUUUAAAUACAUCCAUCGAUUAAGAAAAAAUAAAAGUGAUGCUAUUAGAUACGUUAAAAUUUAAGUAAUAUUUGUGUCAAUGUUUUAGAAUACUUUGUUGAAACUAUUUAAUUAACGUUGAUUAAAUUCGUGUAUUUAGGCAAUUUAGUGAAAAUUAUUUAUCCGCAUGGAAUUUUAAGGAAUUGAUGAGAUGGAUCCAUUAGGACAUGACGAGGCAUCAAAAGAUCCCGCAGCAGAUCAUAAAAUAAAGCUUCCUCUAGACGAAAAAGAUUUUGAAGGUCAUCGCGCGCAUAGCGUAUUUAUCGGCGUCCACGUGCCCGUGGAGCGUCGACAUUCGCAUCGACGUCACCAUCAUCGUCACAAAAGUCCUGAAGGAAGUGUUAAUACUGGGCUCCAAGAAUGUCGCCCUAGUACGAUAACGUCAAGAAGAAGAGGAUUGAGUAUUAGCGAAGAACCCCAAAUGUGUACUCCUCCAUCUCAAAGAGUGCAGUUCAUCCUUGGAGAAGAUGCGACAGACGAAAAACAUGAAAUUCACCCUCUCUUCUCCGAAAUGGAGGAGUUGGUGGGAGACGGAGACGAAAUGGAAUGGAAAGAAACCGCCAGGUGGAUCAAGUUCGAAGAAGAUGUUGAAGAAGGAGGAAACAGAUGGUCCAAACCACACGUAGCUACAUUAUCCUUACAUUCCUUAUUUGAACUAAGAAGUUUAUUACUAAAUGGAACGGUUAUUUUGGAUAUGGAGGCAAAUUCAAUCGAACAAAUUUCAGAUUUGGUAUUGGAUAAUAUGAUAAAUAAUAACAGUUUGCCUUUCGAUAAAAAAGGAAAAGUGAGGGAAGCUUUGAUGAAGAGGCACCGGCAUCAACAUCAGACAAAGAACCACACGUUGCCUUUUAUAAGGUCAUUUAACGAAACUAAAAAUCAUUCUUCUUCGAAGAUUGAUGAACAUUUUAGUGACUAUUCUUCUGGGAAAGAAUUUGGAAAGUUUUUAGGAGUCCCUGGACAGGAUAAAUCUAUACAGAAAAGUGCAAGCUAUGUAUCAAUACACAGAAAUCACAGUUCUGGGGAUCUCUCCGAAGUUCAACACAACUUAGCGUUUAUGAAAAAGAUUCCAAUGGGUGCAGAGGCGAGUAACAUUCUUGUAGGGGAAGUUGGAUUUUUAGAAAAAACUUUAUCAGCUUUUGUUAGACUUAAUACGGCCACUAUUUUGGGGGAUUUGACUGAAGUUCCAGUGCCAACAAGAUUUUUAUUCAUCCUUCUCGGUCCUUUAUCACCUUCUUCUAGCUACCAUGAAAUUGGUAGAGCCAUGGCGACACUGAUGUCAGAUGAGGUGUUCCAUGAGGUAGCAUACCGAGCACGUAAUAGAAGUCAUUUAUUAGCUGGUAUAGAUGAAUUUCUUGAUGCAGUAACAGUAUUACCACCCGGAGAAUGGGAUCCUGCUAUAAGAAUAGAACCACCGGCAGCCAUACCUUCUCAAAAUGCUAGAAAAAGGCCACCUGAAAAAAUGAUGGAAGAAAUAGAUGAGGAAGAACAAGAACAAAUACAAAGAGCUGAAGCUGGAUUGGCUAGAACUGGAAUAUUAUUCGGAGGUUUAAAGAAUGAUAUCAAAAGAAAAGCACCAUUUUAUUUAUCAGAUUUUAAAGAUGCUUUUUCUACUCAAUGUAUCGCUUCUUGGAUAUUCCUUUAUUUUGCUUGUCUUUCUCCUAUUAUAACAUUUGGAGGUCUUCUCUCUGAAGCAACUGGUAAAAAUAUGGCAGCAAUGGAAUCGUUGGUAUCUGGAUUCGUUUGUGGUGUUGGAUACGGAUUAUUCUCCGGACAACCUUUGUCUAUUUUAGGAUCUACAGGACCAGUAUUAGUAUUCGAAACGAUAGUUUUUGAUUUCUGUUAUACUAUGAAAUGGAAUUAUAUGUCUUUUAGAUUUUGGAUAGGAACAUGGACUGCUAUUAUUCUAUUGAUAUUGGUAGCAAUUGAUGCAAGUGCAUUCGUUUGCUAUAUUACUAGAUUUACUGAAGAGAACUUCGCUACUCUGAUAGCUUUCAUUUUUAUUUACAAGGCUGUGGAAAACGUGUGGGCAAUAGGGAAGAAGUUUCCAAUAACGGUGGACGUAAAUAAUAUAAAUAUGGAAUGUUCUUGUACUUGGAACGAUUCUAUAUCUUCAUCGUCAAAUUUUUCAAAUACUGCUACAGUUAAUCAAACAUUAUGUCAGCAAUUGAAUGGUACACUAUCUGAAGGCUGUUUCACUCCACCAUACUCUCCGGAUAUAUUUUUAAUGUCAGUUCUACUGUUUCUUGGUACUUUCGUCAUUUCAAUCCAAUUGAAAGACUUCAAAAAUGCUCUCUACUUUCCAUCCAAAGUACGUCAAUUUAUUAGUGACUUUGCAGUCAUAAUAGCAAUAUGUUCCAUGACCCUUUUAGAUUACUAUGUAAGCAUUCCAACUCCAAAACUUGAAGUUCCUCAUGAGUUAAAACCUACCCUUCCAGGAAGGGGAUGGAUAAUAGCACCAUUCAAUCAUAAUCCUUUCUACACCGUAUUUGUGGCGAUACCACCAGCUCUAUUAGGUACCAUCCUAAUAUUCAUGGAUCAACAGAUUACUGCUGUCAUUGUCAAUAGAAAAGAGUUCAAACUCAAAAAAGGUUGUGGUUACCACUUAGAUCUCUUUGUUCUGGCGAUUCUCAUCGAAAUAUGUUCUGUUAUGGGUCUACCAUGGUUCGUAGCAGCAACAGUACUCUCUAUAACACAUGUACAUUCUCUUAAACUGGAAUCAGAAUGUGCAGCUCCGGGGGACAAGCCUCAAUUUUUGGGUGUAAGAGAACAGAGGGUCACUCAUAUCUUGAUAUUUGCAUCAAUAGGUUUAUCAGUAUUUUUGACACCUAUGUUGGGUCAUAUACCUAUGCCCGUUUUGUUUGGAGUAUUUUUAUACAUGGGCAUUUCUUCAUUAAAAGGACUACAAUUCUUUGACAGGUUACGAAUUAUGUUAAUGCCUAACAAGUAUCAACCGGAUUUUAUGUUUUUAAGACAGGUACCCAUCAAAAAGGUUCAUCUCUUCACAAUCAUCCAAUUAACCUGUUUAAUUUGCCUCUGGAUGGUGAAAUCUUUCAGCCAGACUUCAAUAUUAUUUCCUCUAAUGUUGGUAGUGAUGAUUGGGAUCAGAAAAUCUUUAGAUUGGAUCUUCACAAGACGAGAGCUCAGGAUUCUCGACGAUGUUAUGCCAGAAAAUAAUAAAAUAUAUCAAUUGGAUGAUGAAGAGGAAAGAUCGGGAAAAAAUCCAAUAGAGCUCCAAAAAAAAUCUGGAAAUUUGAAAAUUCCCUUAGCCAACGGAAAUGUUAUGAAUAUACCUUUAUCUGCAAUUAAUAUUUCCGAAGAAGUGGAUAAAACAGGUAUAUGGAAACAUGUGAAUGAUUGCCAAAGUCAAGAAAAAGUAAAAAAGAAGAGUCCCAGGAGUAAAACUAAGUUUAAAAAGAAGAAACCUGGACGAAAAGAGGAAAAAAUUAUUAAAGAUGAAAAGCUGGAGAAAAGACUGUCGACUUGUCAAGAAGAAGAGGACGAGGGUUUCAUCAUAAAGGUGACAGACACGUCUCUUCAUAUUUAAAUUUAAAUAUACAUUAGACAUCAACACAGUAUACACUAUUUCAUAUAAACUAAUCCCUAAAUAAACUCAUUAGAUGAAACGUGGAGGAGGUCCAUAUUCAAAUCAUAUGACUAACGACUAAAUUCAUCCAUUCCAGUAUUAUAUCAACAGUUUUUUACAUAAAAAAUAUAUUUUAAUACCCUUGAUACGGUUUCCUUUAAAAAACAUUUAGGUAAUAGAGAAAUUAGUUAAAUAUAGUCAAUGUAUUAGUUUUCUUUUUCUAUAUCUUAUGUCUCAAAAAUCUAUGGAUUUGUGUAUGUACUAUAAUCUGGCCUGUCGGUAUUGAGAGCAAUAAAAACGCGUGAUCGGUUCAUGGGAUGCUAGUAGUACCUUUUAUAACGAUUCGUAUUGGCUGAAGCAAUGUCUGAGAAAGUCAAGUUCACACGCACGUUAUAUUAAUUUAUUAUUAUUAUAUUCUAAAAAUUUUAUAUUAAUAAUUAUUUUAAGCUUCUGUUUUAUUAAGUUAUUUAUUUACUUUGAUAAAAAUUAAAAAUUAAACUACAUUUCUAACAUGCACUUUUACAGUAAGAAUUAUGUGACUGUAUAAUAGCGCAUGUUAAACAUGUACUUUAAUUUUUAUUAUUCUUUAAUAUGUGGUAUUAUAGUUAUGUUAUACAUUGACUAUCCUCUAUUUUAAAAUAAAUUUUAUUGUUAAAAGUGGCUGUGAUAUUCAUGGAACUAAAUUUGAACUGUCUAUUUACGUUAUUCAAUCUGAAGAACAAUCAUUUCUAAACGCGUCAUUGCUUUAAUACUUUUAGAAUUUUGACAAAAUGCAUCUGAGGAUACAAAGCAUAAUAAAUAUUUAUUAUUUAUAAAAACUGGAGCGAUUUUCUUUUUUUUUAUUACAAUAUUCGCAUCAACCGUAUACUGGUUAUUAGAGAUUUAGUAAAGAUUAAGUAUUUAAUCUAUGAAUAAUUGUUAAAUUAAUUUUAUGAUAGAGACCUGUUUAAGGUAAUUUUUAAGGUAAGUAAUGUUGUAUUUUGGUCCUAAAAUUUCACGUAUUGUUCCGAGUGGUAGAUUUAAUGAUGAUCUUUCUGAGUUAAGAGAUGGACAUUCUGCGAUUAUGUGUUUUAUAGUUAAUUUGCAAUUUCAGUUGCUACAUUUUGGUUCGGGCUUCGCAUCAAAUAAGUAGCUGUGCGUCAGUCGCGUAUGGCCUAGACGCAGACGUAUUAGAAGAACUUCAUCUCUGCGAUUUUUCGGUAGUAUUGACCAUGGUUUUAUUGAGUCUUUCACUUCACGAAGUUUGUGUGUGGAUGUUGACCAUUUGAUCUCCCAUUCAUUGAACACUUUACGCUUUAAGAUUGUUUUAAUAUCGGUAGUAGUUAAGGAGCGAUUUUCCUCAUUGCAACCAAGUUAUUGUUUUUAUUGUAGUUGCAAUCUGCAAUCUUUUGAAUAGUGUGGGUAAAAAAAUAUUUCAAGACUAUAAUGUUUACAUAUUGGAUAAAAGUGGCACUGUUUUUAAAUUCCACCAAUAAAACGCUAAGACGACAAGAGUCACAAUGAAAAUGGAAUGUGAUCAUCCGAGUGAGUAAGGCAAUCCAACAUGUCCGCUUUUUUAGAAAUAAAAUGUGGGACAUUGAUAAUUUAAUGGAAAAACAAGUGGAACCUCUAAUAAUAAAGAGUCGUCCUCGUCGGAAUCAGAUUCCGAUUUAGAUUAAAAUAAAAAUUCAUCCGCCCUUAUAUCCCUCUCAACCACCUUUUUUGAAAACAAAGAAUUUAUUCUGGAAAGGACCUUGUGUGUUUAUAAAGAUUAUUAUUAUUAUUUAUAUCGUUUUGUAUGAAUUUAUUUUAUAACCUUUGAUACGUAUUUGAAUAAAACAUAUAGCACGACAUUUCUUUCUUAGAUAUUACUUUACAGUAUUAGGUACCCUUACAUUUUUAUUUAAUAUACCAUAAAUUUGAAAAACCGUCUAGCUAUUUAAGGUUAGGGAAAACAAAAUUACGAUUAAAAUAAUAAUUUUAUAUAUUUAUAGAUACUUUGAAAAAAUCAAGACAACGUGUGAAAUAUGUAGGUAUAACAUUUAGUAGUUAACUAAGUGAACGAAGAUUUUAAUGUAUGAAUGCUAUGAAAUUGAUAAAUAAAAGUAUUAUUUAUAUGAUAUGAUAUUAAAAUAAAGUAUUUAAAAUUCUAAUAAAAAUGUUAGUUUGAAAAAAGUAUUUAAAAUUCUAUUCAAAUUUGCCAAUAAAUACCUUUUAGUGUUGUGUAUGGUGUGAUUCAGGCUUACAAUUUCUCUCUCACGCACUAUGCACGUGAUUACUCUCUGUAAUGAGCGGUCAUACUAUAGUUAAUAAUCACUUUAAGCAAUUUUGAAAAUUAGCUUUAUUUUUUUUUUCAAAUUCCACUGAAAAAUUCACAAAAAAUCCCAAACGUUUUCUUGCUUCUAGUCUUUUAGUUGCUUGUUUACGUCUGCUGUUCAAGAUUUUCAAUCGUAACUUGAAAAAAACAAUAUGUAUUUAAUAUCUUAGACCGAAAUUUGUUAUAUAAUAUUUGUCCUCAGCGAAGGUUUUUCAAAGAUUUUAUGGAAAAGGCUGUAAAUAUAUCAAAAUAUUCUGUACAUUCGCAUAUCUGUAGGUUUAACUUUGGUAUUUGUAUUACCAUUAUAUUUUAUAAACAAUAUUAACAAAUAUGUGUAAAUAAAAUAAAAAACAAUAU
This is an RNA transcript of Diorhabda sublineata, 6467 nucleotides long. It is a transcript of the gene named sodium-driven chloride bicarbonate exchanger, with no coding region annotated. The transcript has 16 exons. Lineage: Eukaryota; Metazoa; Arthropoda; Insecta; Coleoptera; Chrysomelidae. The record is from RefSeq and is a predicted model, not a curated record.